This 433-nucleotide ribosomal RNA is filed under the name uncultured bacterium. RNAcentral's name for it is "partial 16S ribosomal RNA". It matches the Rfam family "Bacterial small subunit ribosomal RNA", at positions 29 to 507 of the family's 1533-position model. The record is from RNAcentral.
AACGAACGCUGGCGGCAUGCCUAACACAUGCAAGUCGAACGAGACCUUCGGGCCUAGUGGCGCACGGGUGCGUAACGCGUGGGAACCUGCCCUUAGGUUCGGAAUAACUCCCCGAAAGGGGUGCUAAUAACGGAUAAUGUCUUCGGACCAAAGAUUUAUCGCCUUUGGAUGGGCCCGCGUUGGAUUAGCUGGUUGGUAGGGUAAACGCCUACCAAGGCGACGAUCCAUAGCUGGUCUGAGAGGAUGACCAGCCACACUGGGACUGAGACACGGCCCAGACUCCGACGGGAGGCAGCAGUAGGAAAUAUUGGACAAUGGGCGAAAGCCUGAUCCAGCAAUGCCGCGUGAGUGAUGAAGGCCUUAUGGUUGUAAAGCUCUUUUACCCGGGAUGAUAAGGACAGUACCGGGAGAAUGAGCUCCGGCUAACUCCGUG